This is a non-coding RNA of Schistosoma haematobium, 78 nucleotides long. The record is from Rfam. NCBI's taxonomy places the organism in Eukaryota, Metazoa, Platyhelminthes, Trematoda, Strigeidida, Schistosomatidae.
AGCUUUCCGAAUUCAUGCAGAAAUUUCGUCAGACGCCAAUCCGUUAGGGCUGAUCAGACUUUCAAGGUAAGUGAAGUU